GCCCAGGUGGUGAAAUUGGUAGACACGCUACUUUGAGGGGUAGUGCCGCAAGGUGUGCUGGUUCGAGUCCAGUCCUGGGCA
This 81-nucleotide transfer RNA is filed under the name Cyclobacteriaceae bacterium. It matches the Rfam family "tRNA". Rfam says of the family: Transfer RNA (tRNA) molecules are approximately 80 nucleotides in length. The record is from Rfam by way of RNAcentral. Lineage: Bacteria; Pseudomonadati; Bacteroidota; Cytophagia; Cytophagales; Cyclobacteriaceae.